GAUGAACGCUGGCGGCGUGCCUAAUACAUGCAAGUCGAGCGAACGGACGAGAAGCUUGCUUCUCUGAUGUUAGCGGCGGACGGGUGAGUAACACGUGGAUAACCUACCUAUAAGACUGGGAUAACUUCGGGAAACCGUAGCUAAUACCGGAUAAUAUUUUGAACCGCAUGGUUCAAAAGUGAAAGACGGUCUUGCUGUCACUUAUAGAUGGAUCCGCGCUGCAUUAGCUAGUUGGUAAGGUAACGGCUUACCAAGGCAACGAUGCAUAGCCGACCUGAGAGGGAGAUCGGCCACACUGGAACUGAGACACGGUCCAGACGCCUACGGGAGGCAGCAGUAGGGAAUCUGCCGCAAUGGGCGAAAGCCUGACGGAGCAACGCCGCGGGAGUGAUGAAGGUCUUCGGACCGUAAAACUCUGUUAUUAGGGAAGAACAUAUGUGUAAGUAACUGUGCACAUCUUGACGGUACCUAAUCAGAAAGCCACGGCUAACUACGU
RNAcentral lists this ribosomal RNA (496 nucleotides) under uncultured bacterium. RNAcentral describes it as "partial 16S ribosomal RNA". It matches the Rfam family "Bacterial small subunit ribosomal RNA", at positions 28 to 506 of the family's 1533-position model. The record is from RNAcentral.